This 329-nucleotide ribosomal RNA is filed under the name uncultured eukaryote. RNAcentral's name for it is "partial 18S ribosomal RNA". It matches the Rfam family "Eukaryotic small subunit ribosomal RNA", at positions 1470 to 1796 of the family's 1831-position model. The record is from RNAcentral.
CCCUUAGAUGUUCUGGGCUGCACGCGCGCUACACUGAUGCGCUCAACGAGUUUACGAACUUGCCCGGAAGGGUUGGUUAAUCUUUUUAAAACGCGUCGUGAUGGGGAUAGAUUAUUGCAAUUAUUAAUCUUCAACGAGGAAUGCCUAGUAAGCGCAAGUCAUCAGCUUGCGUUGAUUACGUCCCUGCCCUUUGUACACACCGCCCGUCGCUCCUACCGAUUGAAUGGUCCGGUGAAGCGUUUGGACUAUGGUUUUCUGACGGUUCGCCAUUGGAUUACCGUGGGAAAUUCGUUAAACCUUAUCAUUUAGAGGAAGGAGAAGUCGUAACA